AUGAACGCUGGCGGCGUGCCUCAUCCAUGCAAGUCGAGCGAACAGACGAGGAGCUUGCUCCUCUGACGUUAGCGGCGGACGGGUGAGUAACACGUGGAUAACCUACCUAUAAGACUGGGAUAACUUCGGGAAACCGGAGCUAAUACCGGAUAAUAUAUUGAACCGCAUGGUUCAAUAGUGAAAGACGGUUUUGCUGUCACUUAUAGAUGGAUCCGCGCCGCAUUAGCUAGUUGGUAAGGUAACGGCUUACCAAGGCGACGAUGCGUAGCCGACCUGAGAGGGUGAUCGGCCACACUGGAACUGAGACACGGUCCAGACUCCUACGGGAGGCAGCUGUAGGGAAUCUUCCGCAAUGGGCGAAAGCCUGACGGAGCAACGCCGCGUGAGUGAUGAAGGUCUUCGGAUCGUAAAACUCUGUUAUUAGGGAAGAACAAAUGUGUAAGUAACUAUGCACGUCUUGACGGUACCUAAUCAGAAAGCCACGGCUAACUACGUG
RNAcentral lists this ribosomal RNA (496 nucleotides) under uncultured bacterium. RNAcentral's name for it is "partial 16S ribosomal RNA". It matches the Rfam family "Bacterial small subunit ribosomal RNA", at positions 29 to 507 of the family's 1533-position model. The record is from RNAcentral.